UUAAAGUAAUAAUUAAUAAAUAUAAAUAAAUAAUAAAAGUAAUUUUAAUAUUAAAAUAAAUAAUGGGGGUUAAAGUAUUUUAAUAGAAAAAAUUAUAAAAUUUAUAGUAAAUUAGUAUAAAAAUAGAAAUUUGAAAUAAUAAUGAAAAUAAAUUUUAUAAAAAGUAAAUUUAAUUUAUUGUAUCUUGUGUAUCAGAGUUUAUUAAUUAAAUUUUUAUGAAAUAAAAUAUCUCGAAUUUAAAAGAGUUAAUUAAUUAAUAAAUUUAAUGUAAUAUAAUUAUUUUAAAUAAUUAAUUUGAAAUGAAAUGUUAUUCGUUUUUAAAUAUAUCUAGUUAUUUUAGAAAAAAAUUUAAUUUUAAAUUUAUUUUAUUUAUUAUUAAAUAAAUUAAUAAUAAAAAAAAAUAAAUUUUAUAAUUUAAGGGAUAAGCUUUAAAUUAAAUUAUUAUAAUAAAUGAAAAAAAUAUUUAAAAUUUUUAAAAUUUAAAUUGUUUAUAAAUUAAAAUUUAUUAUAAAAAAUUUUAUUAAAAAUAAAAUUUAAUUAAAAUUUAAUUUUUUAUAAAAUUAUAAUAAUUAAUAAUAAAUUGUUAGUAAUAAUGAUAAAAUUAGUAUAAAUAAAUAAAUUAAAUAAAUUAAUUUAAAAGUUAAUUAAAAGGAAUUCGGCAAAAUUAUAUAUUCACCUGUUUAACAAAAACAUGUCUUUUUGAAAAUAAUUUAAAGUCUAAUCUGCCCACUGAUUUAAUUAUUGAAGGGCUGCAGUAUAUUGACUGUACAAAGGUAGCAUAAUCAUUAGUCUUUUAAUUGAAGACUUGUAUGAAGGAUUUGAUGAAAUAUAGACUGUCUCUUAAUUAUUUGUAGAAUUUAAUUUUUUAGUUAAAAAGCUAAAAUAAAUUUAAAAGACGAGAAGACCCUAUAGAGUUUUAUAAUUAAAUUUUUAAAAUAUUUAUAUAAAAUUUUAAUAUUUUAAAAAUUUAAUUAUUAUGUUGGGGUGAUAAAAAAAUUAAUUUAACUUUUUUUAAUUUUAAACAAUAAUAAAUGAAUAAAUGAUCCAUUAUAAUGAUUAAAAGAAAAAAUUACCUUAGGGAUAACAGCGUAAUAUUUUUUUUUAGUACGAAUAAAAAAAAAAGUUUGCGACCUCGAUGUUGGAUUAAGAUAAAAUUUAAAUGCAAAAGUUUAAAAUUUUGAUCUGUUCGAUCAUUAAAAUCUUACAUGAUCUGAGUUCAAACCGGUGUGAGCCAGGUUGGUUUCUAUCUUUAAAUAAAUAAAAUAUUUUA
RNAcentral lists this ribosomal RNA (1270 nucleotides) under Rapala caerulea. RNAcentral's name for it is "partial 16S ribosomal RNA". The record is from RNAcentral. Lineage: Eukaryota; Metazoa; Arthropoda; Insecta; Lepidoptera; Lycaenidae.